AUGGACGAGAGUCUGAACCAGCCAAGUAGCGUGCAGGAUGACGGCCCUAUGGGUUGUAAACUGCUUUUAUAGGGGAAUAAAGUGGACUACGUGUAGUUUAUUGUAUGUACCCUAUGAAUAAGGACCGGCUAAUUCCGUGCCAGCAGCCGCGGUAAUACGGAAGGUUCGGGCGUUAUCCGGAUUUAUUGGGUUUAGAGGGAGCGUAGGCCGUAGAUUAAGCGUGUUGUGAAAUGUAGAUGCUCAACAUCUGACUUGCAGCGCGAACUGGUUUACUUGAGUGUGCACAACGUAGGCGGAAUUCGUCGUGUAGCGGUGAAAUGCUUAGAUAUGACGAAGAACUCCGAUUGCGAAGGCAGCUUACGGGAGCACAACUGACGCUGAAGCUCGAAGGUGCGGGUAUCAAACAGGAUUAGAUACCCUGGUAGUCCGCACAGUAAACGCUGGAUGCCCGCUGUUGGUUCAUUAGAGUCAGCGGCCAAGCGAAAGCAUUAAGCAUCCCACCUGGGGAGUACGCCGGCAACGGUGAAACUCAAAGGAAUUGACGGGGGCCCGCACAAGCGGAGGAACAUGAGGUGUAAUUCGAUGAUACGCGAGGAACCUUACCCGGGCUUGAAUUGCAGACGAACGAUUCAGAGAUGAAGAGGCC
This 646-nucleotide ribosomal RNA is filed under the name Segatella oulorum. Its description in RNAcentral is "bacterial SSU rRNA". It matches the Rfam family "Bacterial small subunit ribosomal RNA", at positions 371 to 1016 of the family's 1533-position model. Lineage: Bacteria; Pseudomonadati; Bacteroidota; Bacteroidia; Bacteroidales; Prevotellaceae. The record is from RNAcentral.